Molecule: ribosomal RNA, 253 nt
Filed under: uncultured bacterium
Lineage: Bacteria
Description: partial 16S ribosomal RNA
Rfam family: Bacterial small subunit ribosomal RNA
Source: RNAcentral
UACGUAGGGGGCAAGCGUUGUCCGGAAUCAUUGGGCGUAAAGAGCGCGCAGGCGGUCGUUCAAGUCGAGUGUGAAAGCCCCCGGCUCAACUGGGGAGGGUCAUUCGAUACUGAUCGACUGGAAGGCAGGAGAGGGAAGCGGAAUUCCCGGUGUAGCGGUGAAAUGCGCAGAUAUCGGGAGGAACACCAAUGGCGAAGGCAGCUUGCUGGGACGGUACUGACGCUGAGACGCGAAAGCGUGGGGAGCAAACAGG